RNAcentral lists this ribosomal RNA (323 nucleotides) under uncultured bacterium. RNAcentral describes it as "bacterial SSU rRNA". It matches the Rfam family "Bacterial small subunit ribosomal RNA", at positions 28 to 334 of the family's 1533-position model. The record is from RNAcentral.
GAUGAACGCUGGCGGCGUGCUUAACACAUGCAAGUCGAACGAGAAUCAACGGAUUGAGGAUUCGUCCAAAUGAAGUUGAGGAAAGUGGCGGACGGGUGAGUAACGCGUGAGGAACCUGCCUCGGAGUGGGGAAUAACAGUUGGAAACGACUGCUAAUACCGCAUAAUGUCAUUUGGGGGCAUCCCUGGAUGACCAAAGAUUUAUUGCUGAAAGAUGGUCUCGCGUCUGAUUAGCUGGUUGGCGGGGUAACGGCCCACCAAGGCGACGAUCAGUAGCCGGUCUGAGAGGAUGAACGGCCACAUUGGGACUGAGAUACGGCCCAG